GUGAGUGAUGAAGGCUUUCGGGUCGUAAAACUCUGUUGUUAGGGAAGAACAAGUGCUAGUUGAAUAAGCUGGCACCUUGACGGUACCUAACCAGAAAGCCACGGCUAACUACGUGCCAGCAGCCGCGGUAAUACGUAGGUGGCAAGCGUUAUCCGGAAUUAUUGGGCGUAAAGCGCGCGCAGGUGGUUUCUUAAGUCUGAUGUGAAAGCCCACGGCUCAACCGUGGAGGGUCAUUGGAAACUGGGAGACUUGAGUGCAGAAGAGGAAAGUGGAAUUCCAUGUGUAGCGGUGAAAUGCGUAGAGAUAUGGAGGAACACCAGUGGCGAAGGCGACUUUCUGGUCUGUAACUGACACUGAGGCGCGAAAGCGUGGGGAGCAAACAGGAUUAGAUACCCUGGUAGUCCACGCCGUAAACGAUGAGUGCUAAGUGUUAGAGGGUUUCCGCCCUUUAGUGCUGAAGUUAACGCAUUAAGCACUCCGCCUGGGGAGUACGGCCGCAAGGCUGAAACUCAAAGGAAUUGACGGGGGCCCGCACAAGCGGUGGAGCAUGUGGUUUAAUUCGAAG
This 565-nucleotide ribosomal RNA is filed under the name Bacillus cereus. Its description in RNAcentral is "bacterial SSU rRNA". It matches the Rfam family "Bacterial small subunit ribosomal RNA", at positions 401 to 956 of the family's 1533-position model. Lineage: Bacteria; Bacillati; Bacillota; Bacilli; Caryophanales; Bacillaceae. The record is from RNAcentral.